AUUGAACGCUGGCGGCAUGCCUUACACAUGCAAGUCGAACGGCAGCGGGGGAGAAGCUUGCUUUUCCUGCCGGCGAGUGGCGAACGGGUGAGUAAUACAUCGGAACGUGCCCUGUAGUGUGGGAUAACUAGUCGAAAGACUAGCUAAUACCGCAUACGACCUGAGGGUGAAAGUGGGGGACCGCAAGGCCUCAUGCUAUAGGAGCGGCCGAUGUCUGAUUAGCUAGUUGGUGGGGUAAAGGCCUACCAAGGCCACGAUCAGUAUCUGGUCUGAGAGGACGAUCAGCCACACUGGGACUGAGACACGGCCCAGACUCGUACGGGAGGCAGCAGUGGGGAAUUUUGGACAAUGGGCGAAAGCCUGAUCCAGCAAUGCCGCGUGUGUGAAGAAGGCCUUCGGGUUGUAAAGCACUUUUGUCCGGAAAGAAAUGGCUCUGGUUAAUACCUGGGGUCGAUGACGGUACCGGAAGAGUAAGGACCGGCUAACUACGUGCCAGCCGCCGCGGUAA
RNAcentral lists this ribosomal RNA (508 nucleotides) under uncultured bacterium. Its description in RNAcentral is "partial 16S ribosomal RNA". It matches the Rfam family "Bacterial small subunit ribosomal RNA", at positions 30 to 523 of the family's 1533-position model. The record is from RNAcentral.